UGUAAUCUGUAGUACACGGUGGAGUGUGGUGGUGGGUGAGAGCCUCUCCUCAGUGAGACAUGUGAACAGAUUUUGGCUGUCUCAGGGAACAACUGUGGCAAGCCUCACCUCCUCAGCUUGACGCACAAGAUGAAGGAGUUCUACAUAUGCUGCAGAUGUAUGCAAUGAAUACAGUACUCGGCGCUCUAGCGUAUAUAAGAGCAAGCGAAGUCUCCUGCUGGCAUCACAUUUCCUUGAGCCAACGCCAAGCACCUCCAAUCCAACGGUCAAGAUGCGUACUGCUCUCUUCGCCCUCCUCUUGGUGCUCGUCGCCUUCAGCCCGUUGGUGGUGGCUGAGGCGGCUAUGGGUGAUGCCCCUUGCCUGGACUGCUACAAGGGAUAUCGCGGUGGUCUGCAAGGGCUCCGUAUGCUGCGUGAGCGAAGGGACACUGCUAAUUCGACCAGUGAAACAGAUGAAACAACGGAGACGAAUGAAACAAAUGAAACAGAUGGAUAAAGAAGGAAAGAAGAGAAGAAGAGGAAGAUGAUUAUGAUGAAGACUACAGAACCUGACAUGAUUUUUUUUUUUAUCUCAGCGGAUAAAAAAGAAAUGAUGAAGAUGAAUUUGAUGGACUAAAGAACCUGAUAUGAUUUUUUUUUUGCCUCAACGGAUGAAAAAAAGAAAUGACGAAGGCGAAUUUGAUGAAGACUAAAGAACCUCACAUGAUUUUCUUUUUUACCUCAGCGGAUAAAGAGAAAUGAUAAAUAGAACAAAAGAUUUAAUAUAAUUUCACAGAAGAGUAUCUAUUAUUUUUAUUUUAUCUUUGUGUAUUUCUUAAUGAAGGAUCUUUUGCCUUAGUGCACUUGUUCCUCCCAGCAAAUAAAAAUAUAAAGCAUUA
Scylla paramamosain (green mud crab) is the source of this 878-nucleotide RNA transcript. RefSeq lists it as uncharacterized. NCBI's taxonomy places the organism in Eukaryota, Metazoa, Arthropoda, Malacostraca, Decapoda, Portunidae. The transcript has 3 exons. The record is from RefSeq and is a predicted model, not a curated record.